RNAcentral lists this ribosomal RNA (190 nucleotides) under uncultured Bacteroidota bacterium. Its description in RNAcentral is "uncultured Bacteroidetes bacterium partial 16S ribosomal RNA". It matches the Rfam family "Bacterial small subunit ribosomal RNA", at positions 338 to 524 of the family's 1533-position model. Lineage: Bacteria; Pseudomonadati; Bacteroidota. The record is from RNAcentral.
CCUACGGGAGGCAGCAGUAAGGAAUAUUGGACAAUGGAGGCAACUCUGAUCCAGCCAUGCCGCGUGAAGGAUGAAGGCGCUACGCGUUGUAAACUUCUUUUCUACUAGAAAAAACAUUUGGUUUCGUACCGAAUCUGAUUGUACAGUAGGAAUAAGCACCGGCUAACUCCGUGCCAGCAGCCGCGGUAAU